GUGAUUUCUCAGCUGCAGCUUUUCCAAUCCAGAUCUUUAUCAGGCUGGAAAGAGGCAUUCAGUUCUUGGCCAGGAUUUGCUCAUCUGCCCCUGCAAAGAUGCCAGCUCUGCAAGCCUGUAGCACAGACAUUACCUCUGCAGCUGUCUCAUGAGUUGAUUCAGAGCUUCCUGAAGUGGUGUCUGCUCCACCUCUAGACCAAAAACAAGGAGGAGGAGAAACAGUGUGAGGCAGAACUGACUGCACUUCCAAGAUAUCAGAAAUCAACCAAACAAAACUGAUGCACCUUGAGAACUCAGUAUAAAGAAAAGAACAGAAUGGCAAACCCCCACAAUACCUAUGGGGGAUCUACUUUUCCCAUUGCCCUUACUUGACAUUCUGUUCACUCUGACAGAAAUACCAAAGGAAGUGUACAGAAACCUAAUUCCAAACUUUUGUACGAGAUGGAGAAAAACACUGACAUGGCACAAAAUGCCAAGUCACUUACUACAAAGUAAACAAAGAACAAUAAAACAUGAGUCAAUUACAAAAAA
Zonotrichia leucophrys gambelii is the source of this 531-nucleotide long non-coding RNA. RefSeq lists it as uncharacterized. The transcript is spliced from 2 exons. Lineage: Eukaryota; Metazoa; Chordata; Aves; Passeriformes; Passerellidae. The record is from RefSeq and is a predicted model, not a curated record.